This 78-nucleotide small RNA is filed under the name Paenibacillus sp. P22. Its description in RNAcentral is "Termite-leu RNA". Lineage: Bacteria; Bacillati; Bacillota; Bacilli; Caryophanales; Paenibacillaceae. The record is from RNAcentral.
AUCGAGAGAGCGGGAAAUUUCCCGCUCUCUAUUUCCCGGGGAAGCGCAUAAAGCAACAAGAUGGAGAAAAGUUCGACA